AAUAGAUACCCGGGUAGUCCAUGCCGUAAACGUUGGGCACUAGGUGUGGGACCCCCUCAACGGGUUCCGUGCCGUAGCUAACGCAUUAAGUGCCCCGCCUGGGGAGUACGGCCGCAAGGCUAAAACUCAAAGGAAUUGACGGGGGCCCGCACAAGCAGCGGAGCAUGUUGCUUAAUUCGAGGCAACGCGAAGAACCUUACCUGGGUUUGACAUGUACGGAAAAGCCACAGAGAUGUGGUGUCCUUUUGGGCCGUACACAGGUGGUGCACGGUUGUCGUCAGCUCGUGUCGUGAGAUGUUGGGUUAAGUCCCGCAACGAGCGCAACCCUUGUCCUAUGUUGCCAGCGGGUAAUGCCGGGGACUCGUAGGAGACUGCCGGGGACAACUCGGAGGAAGGUGGGGAUGACGUCAAAUCAUCAUGCCCCUUAUGUCCAGGGCUGCAAACAUGCUACAAUGGCCAGUACAAAGGGCUGCUAUACCGCGAGGUUGAGCGAAUCCCACAAAGCUGGUCUCAGUUCGGAUUGGAGUCUGCAACUCGACUCC
RNAcentral lists this ribosomal RNA (542 nucleotides) under uncultured bacterium. Its description in RNAcentral is "bacterial SSU rRNA". It matches the Rfam family "Bacterial small subunit ribosomal RNA", at positions 777 to 1319 of the family's 1533-position model. The record is from RNAcentral.